AAUUGCCAUUCUGUCAUUUUGCACCAGUUGCUGAUAUCUGCUCCUCUUUUCCUGAAAUCAGCUCCCAAGUGGUUUGAUUUUGAGCUUUUCUGCCCUGUAGCAAAUACUCAAAUUUCUUUGAUUUCAGAUUACCUGUAUACUAAAAGUACUGCUUGGAGAAGGAUGUUAAGCUUAUUGAACGUGAAGGGACUCUGUUGGUGGAGAAAUAAUACCUGAGAUGGCUGCUUGCCACACGAGG
Pipra filicauda (Wire-tailed manakin) is the source of this 238-nucleotide long non-coding RNA. RefSeq lists it as uncharacterized. The transcript is spliced from 3 exons. Lineage: Eukaryota; Metazoa; Chordata; Aves; Passeriformes; Pipridae. The record is from RefSeq and is a predicted model, not a curated record.